CACAUACUCACUCACUCACACAUACAUACAUACAUACAUACAUACUCACGCAUACACAUACUCACACACAUACAUACAUAUAUACAUACAUACUCACACACACAUACUCACACACACAUACAUACUCGAACGCACACAUACUCACACACACACAUACAUACUCACGCAUACACAUACUCACACACAUAUACAUACAUACUCACGCAUACACAUACUCACACACACAUACAUACUCGAACGCACACAUACUCACACACACACAUACAUACUCACGCAUACACAUACUCACACACAUACACAUACAUACUCACGCAUACACAUACUCACACACAUAUACAUACAUACAUACAUACAUACAUACAUACAUACAUACAUACUCAGCCACACACAUACAUACUUGCGCACAUACUCAUACAUACAUGCAUACACACACACACACAUACAUACACCACACACACACACACACACACACUCACACACAUACAUACAUACUCACACAUACAUACAU
Long non-coding RNA from Ictalurus punctatus (channel catfish), 508 nucleotides. Lineage: Eukaryota; Metazoa; Chordata; Actinopteri; Siluriformes; Ictaluridae. The record is from Ensembl.